UUCGGGGGGAGCGUCAACAUGGUCAACAUACAGAACCGCAAAACAGGAACAUUCAAUAGUAGAAAAACGUCCGUACAACAGAAGCAUACAAACACACACUCAAAGGAGAAUAUAACUUCAGUCGCGAUGUUACGUAGGAAAAUAAGGAAGAAAUACAUAUAGAACUAGCAACAAUAAUCCGCGAGUAAUCAUCCAUAACAUAUAUGAUAUUCCCUGAAGUAUGUGGUUUUCUGGGUUAUAACACCAUGUGGUCUGGAUAAAGGCAGUCUUCCGAGAAGAAUAUGUUAUCUUGAUCUUCAGAAUCAAAGAGUAAGCUAAACAUGAAACCAGCAGUAGAGGUGGAAAGAUGACUCUUCAACCCUGAAGAUGAAGAAGACAUGACAUACUGGACUUUCUCUGCGCUAUACAGAGUAACAACCCGGAAGACCAUAUUCUUCAUAGUCACCACUGUGAGAAUCUCUAAUCCAACAUGACAUUUUCCAUUUGUGGGAAAAAUUUCAUCCUGUGUCACAUAUAGGUUUAAAUGCAUAGUUCACCUCUCUCACAGACACUCUCCAUGACAAAAGCACUGACUUAGAGCCCUAAUAUUAUUUUUAACAAAUACACAUAAAAUUUUGGUUGGAAGACCUCAUGGCAAGGGAACACUUUGGAGAUUUAAAUGUAGAUGAGCAGUUACUGUAAUAAGACCAUGGAAAAGAAAGCUGGCUCAGGAUAUUGCCCACUGGUGCAUUUUGUCAUGACAGUUUUGAAUAUCUAUCUUCUGUAAAUCACAGGUUCAGUAGAACAGCUGAAUAGAUAUCAGUUGUGAAAGGGGAUUCAGUACCACAGAUUCAAUUAGUAUCUUUUUUAACUACUGACAGCAAUGAAAUUCAGAAACAAACACUAUUUUUUAUUGCCAAUGCAGUUUUCUGCCAUGAAACUUUAUGUCCAUCAUCUUCUACAUUAAAUGGCCCAUCAAUGUGGGCAAUGUAAGCAUCUGUUUGCAGUUAUGAAGCACCACCGUACUGUAAAGAUAAAAUACUCAAAGCCAUCAGUGAUUCAAAACAGUGUAUACGAAUAUUCAAUAACUUGCUGGUUUUUGCCCAAAGGAUAUUUUGUAUAUUCCCUACAAUCACCAGAAGCAAGCAUCUAAAAAUACAACUUUCAGGGGAACCAAACUACACAGCAUCACAUUGCAGAAGAAAAUAUUCAUGUUGCAUAAUGUUUUUCAGUUGUCACAAAAUAAAGCAAGAAAGAGCUAGUCUCAAUCUCUGGUCUCCUCAGGUGUUAUGAAGAAAAGGUUCCUCCUUGGCUAUGCCAGUUAGAGCUCGUCUUGAUCACCGGACCUGGGACCAGAGUCCAAAACGUUGCAUUCAAAAUACUCACUACGAUUGCUUAAUGGAAGGAAUAAAUAAGAAAUAUGUAGAACCUAAUUUCAGUGCUACAUGCUAUAACGUAUACAACUUUAACUUAAACACAAACAUUCUUAUCUCAUUAACGUAAAUGGGACACUUCAAUGUCUGCACAACAAAAUUUAUGCACAUAGAUAACAGUUUACUGUUAAUAAAGAUGUACAUGGUUUGCAUACUUCCUGCUGUGUUUGUUGACUUAAACUGUGUAUACAACUAUUGUACCUAUCCUGAAGAUAUCAAAAAUUGGCUGAAACAUGUUACAAAAACUUUGAAAUAACUGAGUAACUGUCUUCUCUUUUAAAACAACAAAUCUGGCCUUAAAAUUAGGCAAAGGAAGAAAAGUAUAAUUACUGUUUGGUCCUAAUUUUUAGUUACUAUUUACCACAGUUGUAUAACAGAAAAUACUUUUUGGCAUAGUUUUCCAAAGGCAUUAAAGUAGAUAAUAAUUAUUAGGACAAUGAAAAUUGGAUGAUAGUCUCUUUAUCAACAAACAUUUCACUUUGAUUCAAAAUUGCAUGAAGGUUCAUCAAGAUUAAUAACUAUGGCCACUACACAUUCUGGCAAGAGAAAUGGAGCAAAUUUCAUAACAAUCUCAUACACCACCGGUCAAAUUUACUAUCAAAUGAGCAAUAUAAAUUCACAAAGGACAAAAAUUUGUAAUUUGAUGAUGUGAUUGUUAUUGAUGACACUGCUUGGGUAAAAGUAACUGGGUGCAAUUGAAUAUAAUGAUAUGACAUACUAAGAAAUAUUUAAGUAAAUUCUUCUUCACUGGGGUGAUUAUUCUGAUCUUAUUACCUUUUAAGUAGACUGAUUUUAAGGCAACUUCAGAAAAAUUAACUGAAAGUAUGAGAGUAUAACUAUAUGGGCCUUUGUCCAUUUGGUGGUUUGUUGUUAUAAGAACUGACAAAAUGUAAUAUAAAUGGCAAAUGUGCCUAAUCAUCUUGUCAUGAAGAUGUAUGGUAACCCUACAGGUACAGCUCCAUGCAAUUUAGACUUUGGCAUUAAAUGGAGGUCAGGGGUUAAUGCAUCAUGGUCUGACCUGAGAGGCAGGCUUAGCCCCUGAACCAUUAUGAACACAGCUAGGUAUCAAAUUGCCAUAAUCCUGCCUGCAGAAGACACUUACAAACUGACCUAUCUGGUAUUAGAGUUUAUUUUUGGUUUUGUUUACUGUCCACUAUGCAACAUUGUUCAGGUAUAAACUAAAAUCCUUUUUGAAAUUCAUCACUGCACUAUAUUUGUCGGCCUACUCAGCCAUCAUCCGGUGCGUUGAAAUUCAAGAGAACUGCUGUGUCUUUUCCGUUACUGCAAUGGAAGUUUUCAUAUUUAAAAUGUUUCUAAAUGAAGUCAAUGUAAGUUCCUCCUUCUACGCCACAUGUAUUGUCUUUUUUUGGUAUGCCUGUUGGUAUGCAAGUGUGCACUGUGGAUGUUAUAUAACAUUAUGACCCACUUGGCGCCUAGCAAUAAAGCCAUUGUAAUCAUACACCAACUCCAUUA
Molecule: long non-coding RNA, 2885 nt
Organism: Cryptotermes secundus
Lineage: Eukaryota; Metazoa; Arthropoda; Insecta; Blattodea; Kalotermitidae
Exons: 2
Source: RefSeq, a predicted model, not a curated record